GGCUCCCCGCCAGGGCCCUUCGGGCCCUCCACCUUCCUGCGGGGACCGGAGCGGCGGCCCGGGGCCCCUCCCAGGCGGGGCGGGCGGAGGGAGUGCGGAGACCCUGCCCAUCCCCUGAAUUCCGAGCACAGGCUGGUGGGCCGAGGGUCGGGAGGAGCCGGGUGCCGUGGAAUCCAGUCAAGGCUUUCCCCGCCCCCUGCCCUUCCCCUGAACUUACUCUCCCGGCUCCAGUUCUGCCGGAAGGCCGUGCCUUUGCCUCAUUUCGUGGGUCCAAGAGGCUAAACUUCGGGGCCACGAACCCUCAGCAGAUCUGAGUUCUAGUCACUGCUCUACCCACGACCCCAGGACGGGACUAAAGAUUUUGGCCAAGUUCCCUAAUCUCCCCGAGCGACUGUUUUCUCAGAGGCGAAUUAGAAAGAGUUUGACCUUCACGGUUCUGCUGUGAAGAUCAAAAGCGGUGGAGUGAACGUGGAAAGGAAGAGGAAGGACCCCUUCCGUGUCCUGGACGGCUUACCAGUCCCUCCACAGACAUUUAAUCCUCACAACCAGCCCGAAGGAGAGGCUGACUCGCUCAAGGCCACAGCGCUGAGUGAUACACAUCUUUAUCGCUGCCAUGGUCGUUGGGCCUUCUACCGGGGACCAGAUUUUGUAACAGGAAUCAUACAGAUGGAGAGGAAAAAAGAAGAGCUAGAAGACGCUAAGCUGCCCUGGGAACAGAGAGGAAAAGUAUGAUAAGAGUCAAAGGAGGAAGAAAUGGAAGUUUUAAUGGAAGAUGAUGAAAAAACAAGAGGCCAAGCUUUGUCUACUGAAAGGGCCUAGAGGCAGAGACACCCCAGUAGCAAUGAGCACCUACAACUCAAAUCUUGGCUGCUAAUUCCAAGAGCUCCUCAAAGAAAUGGCCAGUUCCAGAGCUGGGACAAGGAUCUACUCAGAAGAUAAUAUUGUACCAUAUGACCUAGCCAUUCUCCACCUCGGCAUUUGCCCAAGAGAAGUGAAAGGAUAUACCCAGACAACAACUUGUACAUGAAUGUCCAUAACAGCUUUAUUCAUAAUAGCCCCAAAGUGGAAACAACCCAAAC
Molecule: long non-coding RNA, 1079 nt
Organism: Balaenoptera ricei (Rice's whale)
Lineage: Eukaryota; Metazoa; Chordata; Mammalia; Artiodactyla; Balaenopteridae
Exons: 4
Source: RefSeq, a predicted model, not a curated record